Molecule: ribosomal RNA, 461 nt
Filed under: uncultured bacterium
Lineage: Bacteria
Description: partial 16S ribosomal RNA
Rfam family: Bacterial small subunit ribosomal RNA
Source: RNAcentral
GACGAACGCUGGCGGCGUGCUUAACACAUGCAAGUCGAGCGGAAAGGCCCUUCGGGGUACUCGAGCGGCGAACGGGUGAGUAACACGUGAGUAACCUGCCCCAGACUUUGGGAUAACCCUCGGAAACGGGGGCUAAUACCGGAUACGACACAGCUUCGCAUGGGGUCUGUGUGGAAAGUUUUUCGGUUUGGGAUGGGCUCGCGGCCUAUCAGCUUGUUGGUGGGGUGAUGGCCUACCAAGGCGACGACGGGUAGCCGGCCUGAGAGGGCGACCGGCCACACGGGGACGGGGACACGGCCCAGACCCCCACGGGGGGCAGCGGGGGGAAAUUUUGCACAAGGGGGGGAAGCCUGAGGCGGCGACGCCGGGGGGGGGAUGACGGCCUUCGGGUUGUAAACCUCUUUCAGCGGGGACAAGGGGUAGGGGGGGGUACCGGCAAAAGAAGCCCCGGCCAACUAGGU